RNAcentral lists this ribosomal RNA (301 nucleotides) under uncultured bacterium. RNAcentral describes it as "partial 16S ribosomal RNA". It matches the Rfam family "Bacterial small subunit ribosomal RNA", at positions 509 to 809 of the family's 1533-position model. The record is from RNAcentral.
CAGUCGCCGCGGUAAUACGUAGGUGGCAAGCGUUGUCCGGAAUUAUUGGGCGUAAAGCGCGCGCAGGCGGAUCAGUUAGUCUGUCUUAAAAGUUCGGGGCUUAACCCCGUGAGGGGAUGGAAACUGCUGAUCUAGAGUAGCGGAGAGGAAAGUGGAAUUCCUAGUGUAGCGGUGAAAUGCGUAGAUAUUAGGAAGAACACCAGUGGCGAAGGCGACUUUCUGGACGAAAACUGACGCUGAGGCGCGAAAGCCAGGGGAGCGAACGGGAUUAGAUACCCCGGUAGUCCCUGUCUCUUAUACA